CCCUUAGAUGUUCUGGACCGCACGCGCGCUACACUGAGCCCUUCAUCGAGUUUACAACCUUGGCCGGUAGGUCUGGGUAAUCUUCUCAAAGGGGCUCGUGCUGGGGAUAGAUUAUUGUAAUUUUUAAUCUUCAACGAGGAAUUCCUAGUAAACGCAAGUCAACAGCUUGCAUUGAUUACGUCCCUGCCCUUUGUACACACCGCCCGUCGCUACUACCGAUUGAAUGGCUUAGUGAGCCCGAGGGACUGUUGCACCUAGAGGGUUUUCUCUCCAGGAGCAGCCGGGAACUCGGUCAAACUUGAUCAUUUAGAGGAAGUAAAAGUCGUAACA
RNAcentral lists this ribosomal RNA (330 nucleotides) under uncultured eukaryote. RNAcentral describes it as "partial 18S ribosomal RNA". It matches the Rfam family "Eukaryotic small subunit ribosomal RNA", at positions 1470 to 1796 of the family's 1831-position model. The record is from RNAcentral.